RNAcentral lists this ribosomal RNA (454 nucleotides) under uncultured bacterium. RNAcentral describes it as "bacterial SSU rRNA". It matches the Rfam family "Bacterial small subunit ribosomal RNA", at positions 329 to 802 of the family's 1533-position model. The record is from RNAcentral.
GUACUUACUCCUACGGGAGGCAGCAGUGGGGAAUUUUGCACAAUGGGGGAAACCCCGAUGCAGCGACGCCGCGUGAUUUAGAAGGCCUUCGGGUUGUAGAAAUCUUUUGUAUAGGAAGAAAAUGACAGUACUAUACGAAUAAGGACCGGCUAAUUACGUGCCAGCAGCCGCGGUAAUACGUAAGGUCCGAGCGUUGUCCGGAGUCAUUGGGCGUAAAGGGUACGUAGGCGGGUGAGCAAGUUAGAAGUGAAAUCCUAUAGCUCAACUAUAGUAAGCUUUUAAAACUGCUCAUCUUGAGGUAUGGAAGGGAAAGUGGAAUUCCUAGUGUAGCGGUGAAAUGCGCAGAUAUUAGGAGGAAUACCGGUGGCGAAGGCGACUUUCUGGCCAUAAACUGACGCUGAGGUACGAAAGCGUGGGUAGCAAACAGGAUUAGAUACCCGGGUAGUCCAGGCAU